CAACCAAAGCUGGCGACCGGCGCACGGGUGAGUAACACGUAUCCAACCUGCCUCAUACUCGGGGAUAGCCUUUCGAAAGAAAGAUUAAUAUCCGAUAGCAUAUAUUUCCCGCAUGGGUUUUAUAUUAAAGAAAUUCGGUAUGAGAUGGGGAUGCGUUCCAUUAGUUUGUUGGGGGGUAACGGCCCGCCAAGACUACGAUGGAUAGGGGUUCUGAGAGGAAGGUCCCCCACAUUGGAACUGAGACACGGUCCAA
RNAcentral lists this ribosomal RNA (253 nucleotides) under uncultured bacterium. RNAcentral's name for it is "partial 16S ribosomal RNA". It matches the Rfam family "Bacterial small subunit ribosomal RNA", at positions 75 to 334 of the family's 1533-position model. The record is from RNAcentral.